AGGACGAACGCUGGCGGCGUGCUUAACACAUGCAAGUCGAACGGAAAGGCCCUUCGGGGUACUCGAGUGGCGAACGGGUGAGUAACACGUGGGUGAUCUGCCCCGCACUUUGGGAUAAGCCUGGGAAACUGGGUCUAAUACCGAAUAGGACCAUGGGAUGCAUGUCCUGUGGUGGAAAGCUUUUGCGGUGUGGGAUGGGCCCGCGGCCUAUCAGCUUGUUGGUGGGGUUAAGGCCUACCAAGGCGACGACGGGUAGCCGGCCUGAGAGGGUGUCCGGCCACACUGGGACUGAGAUACGGCCCAGACUCCUACGGGAGGCAGCAGUGGGGAAUAUUGCACAAUGGGCGCAAGCCUGAUGCAGCGACGCCGCGUGGGGGAUGACGGCCUUCGGGUUGUAAACCGUCUUUCAGUAGGGACGAAGCGCAAGUGACGGUACCUACAGAAGAAGCACCGGCCAACUACGUGCCAGCAGCCGC
This 476-nucleotide ribosomal RNA is filed under the name uncultured bacterium. Its description in RNAcentral is "SSU rRNA". It matches the Rfam family "Bacterial small subunit ribosomal RNA", at positions 26 to 518 of the family's 1533-position model. The record is from RNAcentral.